AGCGGCGGACGGGUUAGUAACGCGUGGGAACGUACCCUUUUCUACGGAAUAGCCUCGGGAAACUGAGAGUAAUACCGUAUAAGCCCUUCGGGGGAAAGAUUUAUCGGGAAAGGAUCGGCCCGCGUUAGAUUAGAUAGUUGGUGGGGUAAUGGCCUACCAAGUCUACGAUCUAUAGCUGGUUUUAGAGGAUGAUCAGCAACACUGGGACUGAGACACGGCCCAGACUCCUACGGGAGGCAGCAGUGGGGAAUCUUAGACAAUGGGCGCAAGCCUGAUCUAGCCAUGCCGCGUGUGUGAUGAAGGCCUUAGGGUCGUAAAGCACUUUCGCCAGGGAUGAUAAUGACAGUACCUGGUAAAGAAACCCCGGCUAACUCCGUGCCAGCAGCCGCGGUAAUACGGAGGGGGUUAGCGUUGUUCGGAAUUACUGGGCGUAAAGCGUACGUAGGCGGAUCAGAAAGUAGGGGGUGAAAUCCCGAGGCUCAACCUCGGAACUGCCUCCUAAACUCCUGGUCUUGAGUUCGAGAGAGGUGAGUGGAAUUCCAAGUGUAGGGGUGAAAUUCGUAGAUAUUUGGAGGAACACCAGUGGCGAAGGCGGCUCACUGGCUCGAUACUGACGCUGAGGUACGAAAGUGUGGGGAGCAAACAGGAUUAGAUACCCUGGUAGUCCACACCGA
This 674-nucleotide ribosomal RNA is filed under the name uncultured bacterium. Its description in RNAcentral is "bacterial SSU rRNA". It matches the Rfam family "Bacterial small subunit ribosomal RNA", at positions 94 to 803 of the family's 1533-position model. The record is from RNAcentral.